CUAGUGAAUUUGAUUCUAGUUUUUUAUACAUGGCUUUUGGAUAGAUUUACAUGUAAGUUAUGGCGUGAAUAAUAUUAAUAUGUUUCAGUUUAAUCUUAAUGGUUAAAAUUGGAAAGGGAUUUUCGCAGUUUAUAUUUUUAUUUUUUUAUUAAGGUGAGAAAUAGCUAAUUCAUGAAUUGACUAGCAAAUUUUGUGCCAGCAGCUGCGGUUAUACAAUUAGUCAUUGUCAUUUUUUUUGGGUUAUAUUUAUAUGUUUAAUGAAUUUGAUUAUAUUAAGUUUGUUUUAAGGUGAAAUUUAAAUAUAUUUUAUUAAUUUGGUUAAGUAGAUUAUAUGAAAUUUUAUUAUUUAAACUAGGAUUAGAUACCCUAUUAUUUUGAAUGUAAUAUUUAACUUUUAGUAUUAAUAGUUAAGAUCUUAAAAUUAAAAGAAUUUGACGGUAAUUUAGUCAUUUUAGAGGAGCCUGUCCUUUAAUCGAUAAUCCACGAUAAAUUUAACUAUAAUUUUUAAUUUGUAUACCUCUGUUAUGUUGAGUGUUUUAUUAGGAUUUUACUCUCAUGUAUUUAUGAUAAUAAUUUGAUAUCAGGUCAAGGUGCAAUUUUAUUAUAGGUUGAGAUGGGCUACAUUGAUGAUUUCAUUAAUUUUGGAUUGGGUUUUGUAUUAUCCCCAUGAAAUAGGAUUUAAUUGUAAUGUUUAUUAUAUUUUAAUAGUGAUAUUUGCUCUGGAUUAAGUACACAUCGCCCGUCGCUCUCAUUAUUAAGAUGAGAUAAGUCGUAACAAAGUAGGUUUACCGGAAGGUGAACCUGGAAAUAAAC
RNAcentral lists this non-coding RNA (813 nucleotides) under Adrisa magna. RNAcentral describes it as "12S ribosomal RNA". The stretch from base 402 to 804 matches the Rfam family "Microsporidia small subunit ribosomal RNA", at positions 752 to 1303 of the family's 1311-position model. Lineage: Eukaryota; Metazoa; Arthropoda; Insecta; Hemiptera; Cydnidae. The record is from RNAcentral.